GAUGAACGCUGGCGGCGGGCCUAAUACAUGCAAGUCGAACGGACAGAUGAUAAGCUCUCUCCCUUCACGGUAGCGGGUGACGGGCGAGUGAGACGUGGAUAAGCAUCUUAUAUGUCUGGGAGAAUUUCGUGAAGCCGGUACCAAUACUACAUCAUAUGAUGAACGGCAUUGUUCAAUGGUUAUUGACGGUUUGGCUGACUCUAUUAGCUGCUUCCGGGCCGGAUUAUCUAGUUGGUAAGGUAACGGCUAACCAAGGCAACGAUGCGUAUCCGACCUGAGAGGGUGAUCGGCCACACUGGAACUGAGACACGGUCCAGACUCCUACGGGAGGCAGCAGUGGGGAAUCUUGGGCAAUGGGCGAAAGCCUGACGCAGCCAUACCGCGUGGGUGAAGAAGGUCUUCGGAUCGUAAAACCCUGUUAUUGGGAAAGAAAAGCAGUAGAAGAAAAUCCGCACGUCCUGACGGUACCUAAACAGAAAGCAACGGCUAACUACGUG
Molecule: ribosomal RNA, 497 nt
Filed under: uncultured bacterium
Lineage: Bacteria
Description: partial 16S ribosomal RNA
Rfam family: Bacterial small subunit ribosomal RNA
Source: RNAcentral